Molecule: ribosomal RNA, 216 nt
Filed under: Glomeromycotina sp.
Lineage: Eukaryota; Fungi; Glomeromycota
Description: partial small subunit ribosomal RNA
Rfam family: Eukaryotic small subunit ribosomal RNA (bases 75-216)
Source: RNAcentral
GGGUCAGUAGGUUGGUCGUGCCACCGGUACGUACUGGUCUCACUGACUCCUCCUUCCUGAAGAACCGUAAUGCCAUUAAUUUGGUGUUGCGGGGUAACAGGACUGUUACUUUGAAAAAAUUAGAGUGUUUAAAGCAAGCUAACGCUUGAAUACAUUAGCAUGGAAUAAUGAAAUAGGACGAUCGAUCCUAUUUUGUUGGCUUCUAGGAUUGACGUA